ACCCGGUGAACUGAAACAUCUAAGUAGCCGGAGGAAAAGGAAUCAACAGAGAUACCCUCAGUAGCGGCGAGCGAAGAGGGCAGAGCCCAAACCAGAGCGGGAAACCGCUGUGGGGUUGCGGACUGCUAACAAAUGGUUGGACGAAGCAGAACCAGUUGGGAAACUGGGCCAGAGACGGUGAGAGCCCGGUAAGCGUAAGGAAGACCAUGGAGCAGGAUCCAGAGUACCACGGGGCACGAGGAACCUUGUGGGAAGCAGGGGGGACCACCCUCCAAGGCGAAACACUGAUAUGGACCGAUAGCGAAUAGUACCGUGAGGGAACGGUGAAAAGAACCCCGGGAGGGGAAUGAAAGAGAACCUGAAACCGUAUGUCUACAAACAGUCGGAGCGCUUUACAUGCGCGACGGCGUGCCUAUUGAAGAAUGAACCGGCGAGUUACUGUUGCCAGCGAGGUUAAGCGGAAAACGCGGAGCCGAAGCGAAAGCGAGUCUGAACAGGGCGAUAAGUUGGUAGCAGUAGACCCGAAACCACAGUGAUCUACCCAUGUCCAGGUUGAAGCACAGGUAAAAAUGUGUGGAGGACCGAACCAGUGAGCGUUGAAAAGCUUUUGGAUGAGAUGUGGGUAGGGGUGAAAUGCCAAUCGAACGUGGAGAUAGCUGGUUCUCCCCGAAAUAGCUUUAGGGCUAGCCUCAUGGUAAGAGUACAGGCGGUAGAGCACUGAACGAGGUAGGGGCCUGUCCGGCUACCGAACUUAAUCAAACUGCGAAUGGCUGUACUUAUACAUGGGAGUCAGACUGCGAGUAAUAAGGCCCGUAGUCAAGAGGGAAACAGCCCAGACCAACAGCUAAGGUCCCCAAUGCCGUACUAAGUGGCGAAGGAUGUGGAAUUUCGAAAACAACCAGGAUGUUGGCUUAGAAGCAGCCACCAUUAAAAGAGUGCGUAAUAGCUCACUGGUCGAGAGACUCUGCGCCGAAGAUGACCGGGGCUAAAGUACGGAACCGAAGCUUUGGCAAGUAUCGAAAGAUACUUGGGUAGGGGAGCGUUCCUGCAUGGGAGAAGCCUGACCGGAAGGACAGGUGGACAGGCAGGAAGAGAGAAUGCCGGUAUGAGUAGCGAAAAGAAAGGUGAGAAUCCUUUCCACCGAAAGCCUAAGGGUUCCUGGGCAACGAUCGUCGACCCAGGGUAAGUCGGGACCUAAUCCGAGGCGGAGACGCGUAGGAGAUGGACAACAGGUUGAAAUUCCUGUACCGCAGGAGUCUGUUUGAGCGAAGGAGUGACACAGAAAGGAAUGCGCGCGUGCGAUUGGAAGAGCACGUCCAAGCUGGUAGGUUGUGUGGCAGGCAAAUCCGCCAUACUAAAAGCCGAGAAGUGAUGGGGAGCCAUUGGAGACAAUGGCGAAGGGGCAGGAACUAGGCUGUCGAGAAAAGCUUCUAGUGAGGACUCAGGCGCCCGUACCGAAACCGACACAGGUAGGCAGGAAGAGAAUUCUAAGGUGCGCGGGAAAACCCUCGUUAAGGAACUCGGCAAAAUGUAUCCGUAACUUCGGGAAAAGGAUAGCCUAAAGUAUGUGAGCUGCAGAAACGCAGGGAGCAGGAAUAGGCGGCAGAAGAGAGGCCCAAGCGACUGUUUACCACAAACACAGGCGUCUGCUAAAGCGAAAGCUGACGUAUAGAUGCUGACACCUGCCCGGUGCUGGAAGGUUAAGAGGACGUGUUAGCCGUACGGCGAAGCAGAGAAUUGAAGCCCCAGUAAACGGCGGCCGUAACUAUAACGGUCCUAAGGUAGCGAAAUUCCUUGUCGGGUAAGUUCCGACCCGCACGAAAGGUGUAACGAUUUGGGG
Molecule: ribosomal RNA, 1840 nt
Filed under: Megasphaera stantonii
Lineage: Bacteria; Bacillati; Bacillota; Negativicutes; Veillonellales; Veillonellaceae
Description: bacterial LSU rRNA
Rfam family: Bacterial large subunit ribosomal RNA
Source: RNAcentral